GAGUGGGCGGGGACGAGUGAGUCGGAGUGGAAAUGUCCCUGGAGCAUUUGUGAAGCUAAGAUGUACUAGGAGCAGGAGGGGACCGUCAAGGGAAGUCACUGCAAAGGCUGCCAAGGAAGACCCAAGCUCUGCACUCGGGGUCUCAAUAGCGCAAUCCAGCCCUGGUAUGUGACCAGCUAUUGUACCCCACCACCCACACAAGCCCCUGGUCCCUUCUGCUAAUGUCUCUGCCUUGGAGCCAGAUGGGGCCCUUCCGUCCAGACCCUCCCGCUAAGUCUUCUAUCUACUCUCAAUUUUAAGAGGCAGGAGGCGGCGAGAGUGGGAGUAUAGCUCACUGGGACCGGGCAAAUGACUCAUCUCUGUUGUUGAGACCAGUCACCACAGCUGACCCUGCGUCUUCCCUUCAGCUUUUCUUCCCAUCAGAGAGUGGAAUCUGGCCAAACGGAAGGCCCCGGUCUCUAUCGAGCAGCCAUCAAAAGCCAACGCUGGCUGCUGCAGAUGUAACUCGGAGGUAGAGGGUUUGGCUAGCAUGCAGAAGACCCUGGAUCCCACCCCAGCGCUGCAAACCUAACAACACUCACAAAAAAUGAACGCCUGUGCUAUCGGGUGUCACAAUGAAGAGUCACCUGCAGCCAAGCACAGAGUGUCCCCGGUGUGUGGAAGAACAGAGAGGACAGGCAGUGACAGAUGUACAGGCUGCAAACUGCAGUGCUGAUCUACUCAGAGCCCGCUCCUUCUCCCCAGGGCAUAAACCUUUCGAAUGACAAGGAAGAACUAGAAAAACAGCUGUGGCAAGUUCUCAACAACUGGCUGAGAUGCUUGGGGUGUCUGCUAGCCAACGCUUAGGCAUUUGGUGUCUACCAGAACCUAGACAUUAAAGCAUGGAUUGUUUCCACAAAGGAGGGUAAGAAGUGGCUUGAAGACAGCAAGAUUUAGCUCCAAAUGUCAGGACCCAGCACUAAAGAAGGCAGGAAGCAGGAGGAAUCUCUGUGAGUUUCCAGAUAGCCAGGGCUAUAUAGAGAGACCUAGUCUCAAACAGCAAGCUAUCCUUGGCAUUGGCGUCCUUGGUAUACAAUGUAGAAGGACAGCAUUUCAGGGGACCCGAAAGGUCUCUAGGAUCAGGUGACAGAGCUUACCCUGCAGUAUGGACCGGGUGCAAUUUUCUCUUGCUCAGGGAAUGAAGCUGGUUUUUUGUUUUUUGUUUUGUUUUGUUUUGUUUUGGCCAGGGUCUUAUGUGUCCCAUGAUAGCCUCACACUAACUGUGCAAUGAAGGGUUACCUUGAACUUCUGAUCCUCCUGACAUGACCUCAUAAGUGAUGCUGCCACAGGCAUGUGCCACCUUGCCUGCUUUAUAUAGUGCUAGGGACUUCGGGCAUGCUAGGGAAAUACAUUGCCACCCGAGAUACACCCCCAGCCCCAGAACUGGGAGCUCUUAAAUCAUCUUGAAAAUGAGUUGGGACAACAUACUUAAAAUCGAUGUAACCCUCCAAUCCCUGGAGACUCACAAAGCACUGUGUCUUUUUGGUGAUGGGAGAUGGAAGCUGUAUUGUCAUGCACUUUGGAGAGAAAUGUCGCAUGUUCAUAAUGCCAGCUCCUAGAAGCCUUCCUUAUUGAGAUGUCAGGCCUUGGUAUUUUCAUGGCACCUCUGUCAUAUUUAGGGUACUUUUCAUUUCUAUUCUCUGGCCUCCAGCAGCAUGAUGUCAUUCGUAGAAAGUAGAAUAGUGUGGUAUCUUGGGAAACAAUGAGGUAUUAGAAGUCUGAGGCGUGAAGAGCUGUCAAAAGAGCUAAGAGCAAGUCAUGAUGAGAAGGGGCAGGUGAUCUGAUGACCCUGAGGGGUGAGAGCAGUUUCUGAUCUUUUUGACUUCCUAGAAUAGAGGAAAAGGCAUUUGCCAGCUCAGGGACUGCAUAUCGGGUGUCAGGGAUGGAAUUUAUUUUCUCUAUCAAUGGGACCACAUCAGAAAUAGCAGCUGCAACUGGAGUCACCGCAUAAUUAGGUUUAUGGAAAUCCACUGCCAUUCUCCAAGACCCAGAUGCCAUCUUCGCUAGCCAGGGUGACGAAUAAUCUAGGAAUUUAGUCAAAUUAUCGCACACAGUCUUUCAAAGCCACAGUGGGCUCUGGAGUCGUGACCGAUUCAUGCUUGGAAACUGGGAGACAGAUUGUCCUAACAACCCUCACAGAGAAGACCAUGUUGGCCUCAGACACAGUUACAGAGAUCUACCUGACUCUCUCUCGCUCCUGGUGCUGGGAUUAAAGAUACUAUAUACUCAACUCAAGCUGGUGGCAGCCCCACUUCUUCAUCUGUUACACAAGGAUAGAAGCAUUUGGUUGCUUCAAGGAUUAAUAAUAAAACUUGCAGGUCUCUUCCUGUG
Long non-coding RNA from Mus musculus (house mouse), 2370 nucleotides. RefSeq annotates it as predicted gene, 31608. NCBI's taxonomy places the organism in Eukaryota, Metazoa, Chordata, Mammalia, Rodentia, Muridae. The record is from RefSeq and is a predicted model, not a curated record. The transcript has 5 exons.